This 530-nucleotide long non-coding RNA is filed under the name Anser brachyrhynchus (Pink-footed goose). RNAcentral describes it as "lncRNA (ENSABRG00000014204.1)". The record is from RNAcentral. Lineage: Eukaryota; Metazoa; Chordata; Aves; Anseriformes; Anatidae.
CUCUACAAGAGAUGCCUUUAAAAUAUUUAUCUUGCUUGGAAAGGAAGAUGGUGUUGACUGUGUUGGUCCUUAGUUUCUGAGGGAGCUCGUUCUACACUCAUCUUAUUUUCAAGAGAUUUGUCUUCUGGAAAGAUGAGCUUUUUACUUUAAGUCAGAAGGUACCAGUGUAACCACUGUUCUUGUUCUGGAGCUUUCUUUACUCUAGAUGGAAUCAGGUCAUUUUCAGUGUUACAGAUAGAGCCUGAGACCUUGAACUUCAUGCACUGCUCUGCAAGGAGCUAAGAUAAAUCUGAAGCAAGCAGGAUCGUCUGUGUGGGUAUCCACAGUUAUUUGCUAAGGCAAAAUUUUUGUGGAAGUUCCUUCUCUGGAAGCUUCUGUUUCUAGAAAUGACAAUUCAACACCAGCUUCUCAGCACUACCUUAGUGGUUGUAUCCAUGCCGUGGCAGAAUAGGAAGAGCUUCUGGAACUGACCAAGGUCGUGAGAGGGUUGGGACACUCCAGGUUCAAUGUAAUCUCACUGGGCACCAACA